Molecule: long non-coding RNA, 573 nt
Filed under: Anser cygnoides (Swan goose)
Lineage: Eukaryota; Metazoa; Chordata; Aves; Anseriformes; Anatidae
Description: lncRNA (ENSACDG00005011423.1)
Source: RNAcentral
AUGAGUUUUAAACCUCACGAGUGCUGGGCUCUGCCUUGGGAGCCCUGGUGGGGCCGGGAGCAAGGCAACCCCAGGGACCCUUGCCUCUGGUGUCAGCAGAGCGGUGCUGGCGUCUCGGUGCCGUCUAUAUGGGAAAUGUUGGUUUCCAUAGGAACGGCCUGUGGCAGCGCUGGCUUUUGGGGGAGGUGGCAUCUGGAUGGUGGCAGGAGCCUGGCGUGGCUGCGCCUCGCUAACUCAGUCUCCCUCCCUCUGCAAACAUUGGAUUUAAACCUGCUCAGAAUUCAGCACAGACGAAAGCGGCAGCAGCGGCGGCGGCGGCAGCAGCAGCAAGCAGCAAGCAAAUCAGCCGCUAGCCUAGUGCAGCUCCAAGAUGUACCAUCCUGCCUGCUGGAUCGUCUUCACCGCCACAACUGCCCUGCUCUUCAUCCCAGAGGGGUAGGUGAGCGCCCAGCAAUGCAUCCUCUGCCAGCCACGUGUGGGAGCGUUCAGCAAGAGAUCCCAGCCUCUGGAUGCUCUGGCAUGGAGCUGCUUCGUCCCCAAGCCAUUAUUUAUGUCUGCGGGGCUGGAUACUGA